This 497-nucleotide ribosomal RNA is filed under the name uncultured bacterium. RNAcentral describes it as "partial 16S ribosomal RNA". It matches the Rfam family "Bacterial small subunit ribosomal RNA", at positions 28 to 507 of the family's 1533-position model. The record is from RNAcentral.
GAUGAACGCUGGCGGCGUGCCUAAUACAUGCAAGUAGAACGCUGAAGGAAGGAGCUUGCUCUUUCCGGAUGAGUUGCGAACGGGUGAGUAACGCGUAGGUAACCUGCCUGGUAGCGGGGGAUAACUAUUGGAAACGAUAGCUAAUACCGCAUAACAGUAGAUGUUGCAUGAUAUCUACUUAAAAGGUGCAAUUGCACCACUACCAGAUGGACCUGCGUUGUAUUAGCUAGUUGGUGAGGUAACGGCUCACCAAGGCGACGAUACAUAGCCGGCCUGAGAGGGUGAUCGGCCACACUGGGACUGAGACACGGCCCAGACUCCUACGGGAGGCAGCAGUAGGGAAUCUUCGGCAAUGGACGGAAGUCUGACCGAGCAACGCCGCGUGAGUGAAGAAGGGUUUCGGAUCGUAAAGCUCUGUUGUAAGAGAAGAACGAGUGUGAGAGUGGAAAGUUCACACUGUGACGGUAUCUUACCAGAAAGGGACGGCUAACUACGUG